CCUACGGGAGGCAGCAGUAGGGAAUAUUGGUCAAUGGGUGAGAGCCUGAACCAGCCAUGCCGCGUGCAGGAAGAAGGCCUUCUGGGUUGUAAACUGCUUUUGCCAGGGGAUAAAAAUACCUUGCGAGGUAAAUUGAAGGUACCUGGUGAAUAAGCCACGGCUAACUACGUGCCAGCAGCCGCGGUAAUACGUAGGUGGCAAGCGUUGUCCGGAUUUAUUGGGUUUAAAGGGUGCGUAGGCGGCCCUGUAAGUCAGUGCUGAAAUAUCCCAGCUUAACUGGGAGGGUGGCAUUGAUACUGCGGGGCUAGAGUACAGAUGAGGUAGGCGGAAUUGACGGUGUAGCGGUGAAAUGCUUAGAUAUCGUCAAGAACACCUAUAGCGAAGGCAGCUUACUAGGCUGUAACUGACGCUGAGGCACGAAAGUGUGGGGAUCAAGCAGGAUUAGAUACCCUGGUAGUCCACACUGUAAACGUUGAUUACUCGCUGUGUGCGAUAUACAGUACGCGGCCAAGCGAAAGCGCUAAGUAAUCCACCUGGGGAGUACGCCGGCAACGGUGAAACUCAAAGGAAUUGACGG
Molecule: ribosomal RNA, 577 nt
Filed under: uncultured bacterium
Lineage: Bacteria
Description: bacterial SSU rRNA
Rfam family: Bacterial small subunit ribosomal RNA
Source: RNAcentral